Gambusia affinis (western mosquitofish) is the source of this 183-nucleotide long non-coding RNA. RefSeq lists it as uncharacterized. The transcript has 3 exons. The record is from RefSeq and is a predicted model, not a curated record. NCBI's taxonomy places the organism in Eukaryota, Metazoa, Chordata, Actinopteri, Cyprinodontiformes, Poeciliidae.
AAAAUAUAAAAUGCAACUUAAGAGCAGUCCUUACAGAGAUUCAAAAAAUGCAGAUAUGUAUAUGUAAUAUAUGUACAGCAAAUGUGCCACAGUGCAGUUGUGCAAAAUUGGGCUGAUUAGUGCAGAACAAUGAUUUAGCUUUUAUUGUACAAUGAGAUUUCAUGUGGCAGGAAGGAUUUCUUG